GCUCUCCCAAGGGUGGCAUGAUUUCCAACAGGUAAGACAUUUGUUCAUAUUCUUGGCAUGGUUGUAUCCUCUUUUUCCAGAUUUUGUUGUUAGGGGUUGUUCCCCAAGAAGAGCUUUUGUUGGGGUUGUUCCCCAAGCAGAGUGUUGGUUAUAGACUUCACAGUCCUCUCCAACAGUAUUCUCUCCUCAGCAUGGGUGCUUUCCUUUGGAAGAUUCAGUGGUGGAUGGGUUAACGUCCCGGUACUUUAC
This 249-nucleotide long non-coding RNA is filed under the name Lathyrus oleraceus (garden pea). RNAcentral's name for it is "Pisum sativum (pea) long non-coding RNA (PSAT_LNC029675)". Lineage: Eukaryota; Viridiplantae; Streptophyta; Magnoliopsida; Fabales; Fabaceae. The record is from RNAcentral.